RNAcentral lists this ribosomal RNA (253 nucleotides) under uncultured bacterium. Its description in RNAcentral is "partial 16S ribosomal RNA". It matches the Rfam family "Bacterial small subunit ribosomal RNA", at positions 524 to 776 of the family's 1533-position model. The record is from RNAcentral.
UACGAAGGGGGCUAGCGUUGUUCGGAAUUACUGGGCGUAAAGCGCGCGCAGGCGGCUAUCCAAGUCAGUGGUGAAAGCCCGGAGCUCAACUCCGGAACUGCCAUUGAAACUGUUUAGCUUGAGGAUGAGAGAGGUGAGUGGAAUUCCCAGUGUAGAGGUGAAAUUCGUAGAUAUUGGGAAGAACACCGGUGGCGAGGGCGGCGACCUGGUCCUUGACUGACGCUGAGGCGCGAAAGCGUGGGGAGCAAACAGG